This 253-nucleotide unclassified non-coding RNA is filed under the name Alphaproteobacteria bacterium. RNAcentral describes it as "contains 16S-23S intergenic spacer region". It matches the Rfam family "Bacterial small subunit ribosomal RNA", at positions 524 to 776 of the family's 1533-position model. The record is from RNAcentral. Lineage: Bacteria; Pseudomonadati; Pseudomonadota; Alphaproteobacteria.
UACGAAGGGGGCUAGCGUUGUUCGGAAUUACUGGGCGUAAAGCGCACGUAGGCGGAUAUUUAAGUCAGGGGUGAAAUCCCGCAGCUCAACUGCGGAACUGCCUUUGAUACUGGAUAUCUAGAGACCGAGAGAGGUAAGUGGAACUCCUAGUGUAGAGGUGGAAUUCGUAGAUAUUCGGAGGAACACCAGUGGCGAAGGCGGCUCACUGGCCAGAUACUGACGCUGAGGUGCGAAAGUGUGGGGAGCAAACAGG